GGGACCAUGACGCAGCUGGUAAGCGCGUGGGCCUCAUGUUUCGGCACAUGAUCUGAUUAGACAUCAGAGUCAACCCAAGGUCGUGAGUUCGAUCCUCACUAGUCCCA
Lasiosphaeria miniovina is the source of this 107-nucleotide non-coding RNA. The record is from the annotation of a RefSeq genome assembly. NCBI's taxonomy places the organism in Eukaryota, Fungi, Ascomycota, Sordariomycetes, Sordariales, Lasiosphaeriaceae.